This 483-nucleotide ribosomal RNA is filed under the name uncultured bacterium. RNAcentral describes it as "partial 16S ribosomal RNA". It matches the Rfam family "Bacterial small subunit ribosomal RNA", at positions 30 to 507 of the family's 1533-position model. The record is from RNAcentral.
AUUGAACGCUGGCGGCAGGCCUAACACAUGCAAGUCGAGCGGAUGAAGGGAGCUUGCUCCUGGAUUCAGCGGCGGACGGGUGAGUAAUGCCUAGAAUCUGCCUGGUAGUGGGGGAUAACGUCCGGAAACGGGCGCUAAUACCGCAUACGUCCUGAGGGAGAAAGUGGGGGAUCUUCGGACCUCACGCUAUCAGAUGAGCCUAGGUCGGAUUAGCUAGUUGGUGGGGUAAAGGCCUACCAAGGCGACGAUCCGUAACUGGUCUGAGAGGAUGAUCAGUCACACUGGAACUGAGACACGGUCCAGACUCCUACGGGAGGCAGCAGUGGGGAAUAUUGGACAAUGGGCGAAAGCCUGAUCCAGCCAUGCCGCGUGUGUGAAGAAGGUCUUCGGAUUGUAAAGCACUUUAAGUUGGGAGGAAGGGCAGUAAGUUAAUACCUUGCUGUUUUGACGUUACCAACAGAAUAAGCACCGGCUAACUUCGUG